GCUGGCGGCGUGCUUAACACAUGCAAGUCGAACGGGAACCUUUGGAUUCGUCUGAAGGGGAGAGUGGCGAACGGGUGAGUAACACGUGGGUGACCUGCCUCGAAGACGGGGAUAACCACUGGAAACGGUGGCUAAUACCCGAUGGUCUCGAUAAUUCGGUUUAUCGAGUAAAGGCUCCGGCGCUUUGAGAGGGACCUGCGGCCCAUCAGCUAGUUGGUAGGGUAAUGGCCUACCAAGGCAAAGACGGGUAGGGGGCGUGAGAGCGUGACCCCCCACACUGGCACUGGGACACGGGCCAGACUCCUACGGGAGGCAGCAGUGAGGAAUAUUGCGCAAUGAGCGAAAGCUAGACGCAGCAACGCCGCGUGGGUGAUGAAGGCCUUCGGGUCGUAAAACCCUUUUCUGGGGGAAGAGUAAGGACGGUACCCCAGGAAUAAGCCUCGGCUAACUAUGUGCCAGCAGCCGCGGUAAUACAUAGGAGGCAAGCGUUAUCCGGAUUUACUGGGCGUAGAGAGCGUUGAGGCGGCUUCGUAAGUUGGACGUGAAAGCUCCCGGCUUAACUGGGAGAGGCCGUUCAAUACUGCGGGGCUUGAGGACAGCAGAGGGGGGUGGAAUUUCCGGUGUAGUGGUGAAAUGCGUAGAUAUCGGAAGGAACACCAGUGGCGAAGGCGGCCCCCUGGGCUGCUCCUGACGCUGAAGGCGAAAGCUAGGGUAGCGAACGGGAUUAGAAACCCCGGUAGUCCUAGCCGUAAACGAUGGAUACUAGGUGUAGGAGGUUAAAAUUCCUUCUGUGCCGGAGCUAACGCGUUAAGUAUCCCGCCUGGGGAGUACGGUCGCAAGGCUAAAACUCAAAGGAAUUGACGGGGGCCCGCACAAGCAGCGGAGCGUGUGGUUUAAUUCGAUGCAACGCGAAGAACCUUAC
Molecule: ribosomal RNA, 922 nt
Filed under: uncultured organism
Description: bacterial SSU rRNA
Rfam family: Bacterial small subunit ribosomal RNA
Source: RNAcentral